UACGUAGGGUCCGAGCGUUGUCCGGAAUUACUGGGCGUAAAGCGCGCGCAGGCGGCCCGCGAGGUGUCACGUGAAAGCCCCGGGCUCAACCCGGGAGGGUCGUGGCAAACCGGCGGGCUUGAGGCCGGUAGAGGUGGGUGGAACUCCUGGUGGAGUGGUGAAAUGCGUAGAGAUCAGGAAGAACACCCGUGGCGAAGGCGGCGCACUGGGCCGGUACUGACGCUGAGGCGCGAAGGCGUGGGGAGCGAACGGG
Molecule: ribosomal RNA, 253 nt
Filed under: uncultured bacterium
Lineage: Bacteria
Description: partial 16S ribosomal RNA
Rfam family: Bacterial small subunit ribosomal RNA
Source: RNAcentral